GUGGGGAAUCUUAGACAAUGGGCGCAAGCCUGAUCUAGCCAUGCCGCGUGAGCGAUGAGGGCCUUAGGGUUGUAAAGCUCUUUCGUGGGGGAAGAUAAUGACUGUACCCCAAGAAGAAGCCCCGGCUAACUCCGUGCCAGCAGCCGCGGUAAUACGGAGGGGGCUAGCGUUGUUCGGAAUUACUGGGCGUAAAGCGCACGUAGGCGGACUGGAAAGUCAGGGGUGAAAUCCCGGGGCUCAACCCCGGAACUGCCUUUGAAACUCCCAGUCUUGAGGUCGAGAGAGGUGGGUGGAAUUCCGAGUGUAGAGGUGAAAUUCGUAGAUAUUCGGAGGAACACCAGUGGCGAAGGCGGCCCACUGGCUCGAUACUGACGCUGAGGUGCGAAAGCGUGGGGAGCAAACAGGAUUAGAUACCCCUGUAGUCC
This 425-nucleotide ribosomal RNA is filed under the name uncultured bacterium. Its description in RNAcentral is "partial 16S ribosomal RNA". It matches the Rfam family "Bacterial small subunit ribosomal RNA", at positions 354 to 796 of the family's 1533-position model. The record is from RNAcentral.